Tympanuchus pallidicinctus (lesser prairie-chicken) is the source of this 246-nucleotide long non-coding RNA. RefSeq lists it as uncharacterized. The transcript is spliced from 3 exons. NCBI's taxonomy places the organism in Eukaryota, Metazoa, Chordata, Aves, Galliformes, Phasianidae. The record is from RefSeq and is a predicted model, not a curated record.
CUCAUUUUCAAAGUGCUACUCUUGGAGCAGACCUUAAAAUUUGGCAGUGAGGUGCCUUGCUUGUGGCUUGGGUGUGCAGUUAUAUGUGGGAGCUGCUGUGUUCACCCAGAGAAUGGCUGGUGCUCUGCCAGAGGAAUGCUGAAGAUGCCUUAGUGUUGUCUCUUGUUCCAUGAGAUGAGCACUAAGCAGCGUGUCGAGGCGCGUGUCAUUGAAGACGCAGUGGAGCGGGCGGCGGUAGAAGCGGGU